Acanthosepion pharaonis is the source of this 95-nucleotide non-coding RNA. The record is from the annotation of a GenBank genome assembly. Lineage: Eukaryota; Metazoa; Mollusca; Cephalopoda; Sepiida; Sepiidae.
GGGGUUUAAAUACCGGUUCCCAUAUGAUCACCAAAGUUAAGCAAUUUUGAGCCUGGUCAGUAAGUACCUAGAUGGGUGACCACUUGAGAAUAUCA